AUGGCGAGGGGGACCCGGGCAGGGGGCGGGGCCUCGGGGGGGCGAGGGGGACCGGGCAGGGGGCGGGGCCUCGGGGUGGCGAGGGGGACCGGGCAGGGGGCGGGGCCUCGGGGUGGCGAGGGGGACCGGGCAGGGGGCGGGGCCUCGGGAUGGCGAGGGGGACCGGGCAGGGGGCGGGGCCUCGGGGUGGCGAGGGGGACCGGGCAGGGGGCGGGGCCUCGGGGUGGCGAGGGGGACCGGGCAGGGGGCGGGGCCUCGGGUGGCGAGGGGGACCGGGCAGGGGGCGGGGCCUCGGGGUGGCGAGGGGGACCCGGGCAGGGGGCGGGGCCUCGGGGUGGCGAGGGGGACCGGGCAGGGGGCGGGGCCUCGGGGUGGCGAGGGGGACCCGGGCCGGGGGCGGGGCCCCGGGGUGGCGAGGGGACCCGUGCAGGGGCGGGGCCUCGGGGUGGCGAGGGGGACCGGGCGAGGGGGACCCGGGCAGGGGGCGGGGCCUCGGGGUGGCGAGGGGGACCGGGCAGGGGGCGGGGCCUCGGGGUGGCGAGGGGGACCGGGCAGGGGGCGGGGCCUCGGGGUGGCGAGGGGGACCGGGCAGGGGGCGGGGCCUCGGGGUGGCGAGGGGGACCGGGCAGGGGGCGGGGCCUCGGGGUGGCGAGGGGGACCGGGCAGGGGGCGGGGCCUCGGGGUGGCGAGGGGGACCGGGCAGGGGGCGGGGCCUCGGGGUGGCGAGGGGGACCCGGGCAGGGGGCGGGGCCUCGGGGUGGCGAGGGGGUCCGGGACCGGGACCGGGACCGGGACCGGGACCGGGGCCGGGACCGGGACCGGGGCCGGGAGGAGGGGCGGGCUGCGGCGGGAGGAGGACCGGGUCCUGGAAGCCGGAAGCCGCCAGCCGCCAGCCGCCAGCCGCCCCGCCUCGCGCCGGAAGUCCCGCUGGCGGCAAAGUUAACGGCAGUGGUUGGCGCGUCCGCGUCGGAGUCGCUGGUUCUCGAGGCUGCCGGCUGCGCGCCCCCUGCCCCCACCGAAGCUGACGUGCCCGCGCGGACCCGGGGAGCGUCCGCCGUCCCGGGGCGCUGUGGACGUGACUUCGGGGAGCUGGCUGUCCUGGUCCCAGCCUGCUCCGCCUCCCCGGUGACUGCGUCGGGGUGUGCAGAAUCAGCGGUGGGCCCGCUGGGAGAUGCGACACCGGGAAGGAAGGCUCUGGGUGGCAGGCCAAACCCCGUGCCUCUGAAGUCGGAGUUUGCUUCCCAUCCAGUGGAAGGCGAGGGCCCUCCGGACAAAAUUCUGAAGAUGAAUUUCCACUACAUUGAAAUGGCAGCUAUCAAAACUCAGCUCUGCACGUGGUUGUCUGAAGAAGGAGAAAUCAAGAAUCACUAUCAGAGAGAAUAAUGCAACAUCCUAAUCAACAGGACUACAAAUGUGCUCUUACAGAAAAACAAUCUGAUCAUCUGGAAAAAUCACAGCUACAACCUGGGAACAUUCCUAUCUGGGAUACUGAUCUGGACAAGGCACUCGAUUUCUAAACAGGAAAACUGUGAGAUCAGG
This 1539-nucleotide long non-coding RNA is filed under the name Canis lupus familiaris (dog). RNAcentral's name for it is "lncRNA (ENSCAFG00030007001.1)". Lineage: Eukaryota; Metazoa; Chordata; Mammalia; Carnivora; Canidae. The record is from RNAcentral.